GGGUUGUGAGGUUAAGCGAACAAGCGUACACGGUGGAUGCCCUGGCAGUCAGAGGCGAUGAAGGACGUGCUAAUCUGCGAAAAGCGCCGGUAAGGUGAUAUGAACCGUUAUAACCGGCGAUGUCCGAAUGGGGAAACCCGGUGCACUUCGGUGCAUCAUCGUUAGCUGAAUACAUAGGCUAACGAGGCGAACCGGGGGAACUGAAACAUCUAAGUACCCCGAGGAAAAGAAAUCAACCGAGAUUCCCCCAGUAGCGGCGAGCGAACGGGGAACAGCCCAGAGCCUGAAUCAGCUUGUGUGUCAGUGGAACGGUCUGGAAAGGCCGGCGAUACAGGGUGACAGCCCCGUACACGAAGGCACACAGGCUGUGAGCUCGAUGAGUAGGGCGGGACACGUGAUAUCCUGUCUGAAGAUGGGGGGACCAUCCUCCAAGGCUAAAUACUCCUGACUGACCGAUAGUGAACCAGUACCGUGAGGGAAAGGCGAAAAGAACCCCGGCGAGGGGAGUGAAACAGAACCUGAAACCGUGUACGUACAAGCAGUGGGAGCCUUCGUAAGAGGGUGACUGCGUACCUUUUGUAUAAUGGGUCAGCGACUUAUAUUCUGUAGCAAGGUUAACCGUAUAGGGGAGCCGAAGGGAAACCGAGUCUUAACCGGGCGUUAAGUUGCAGGGUAUAGACCCGAAACCCGGUGAUCUAGCCAUGGGCAGGUUGAAGGUUGGGUAACACUAACUGGAGGACCGAACCGACUAAUGUUGAAAAAUUAGCGGAUGACCUGUGGCUGGGGGUGAAAGGCCAAUCAAACCGGGAGAUAGCUGGUUCUCCCCGAAAGCUAUUUAGGUAGCGCCUCGUGAACUCAUCUCCGGGGGUAGAGCACUGUUUCGGCUAGGGGGCCAUCCCGGCUUACCAACCCGAUGCAAACUGCGAAUACCGGAGAAUGUUAUCACGGGAGACACACGGCGGGUGCUAACGUCCGUCGUGAAGAGGGAAACAACCCAGACCGCCAGCUAAGGUCCCAAAGUCAUGGUUAAGUGGGAAACGAUGUGGGAAGGCCCAGACAGCCAGGAUGUUGGCUUAGAAGCAGCCAUCAUUUAAAGAAAGCGUAAUAGCUCACUGGUCGAGUCGGCCUGCGCGGAAGAUGUAACGGGGCUAAACCAUGCACCGAAGCUGCGGCAGCGACACUGUGUGUUGUUGGGUAGGGGAGCGUUCUGUAAGCCUGUGAAGGUGUGCUGUGAGGCAUGCUGGAGGUAUCAGAAGUGCGAAUGCUGACAUAAGUAACGAUAAAGCGGGUGAAAAGCCCGCUCGCCGGAAGACCAAGGGUUCCUGUCCAACGUUAAUCGGGGCAGGGUGAGUCGACCCCUAAGGCGAGGCCGAAAGGCGUAGUCGAUGGGAAACAGGUUAAUAUUCCUGUACUUGGUGUUACUGCGAAGGGGGGACGGAGAAGGCUAUGUCGGCCGGGCGACGGUUGUCCCGGUUUAAGCGUGUAGGCUGACUUUCCAGGCAAAUCCGGAAGGUUAAGGCUGAGGCGUGAUGACGAGGCACCACGGUGCUGAAGUGACAAAUGCCCUGCUUCCAGGAAAAGCCUCUAAGCAUCAGGUAACAUCAAAUCGUACCCCAAACCGACACAGGUGGUCAGGUAGAGAAUACCAAGGCGCUUGAGAGAACUCGGGUGAAGGAACUAGGCAAAAUGGUGCCGUAACUUCGGGAGAAGGCACGCUGACAUGUAGGUGAAGCCCCUGCGGGUGGAGCUGAAGUCAGUCGAAGAUACCAGCUGGCUGCAACUGUUUAUUAAAAACACAGCACUGUGCAAACACGAAAGUGGACGUAUACGGUGUGACGCCUGCCCGGUGCCGGAAGGUUAAUUGAUGGGGUUAUCGCAAGAGAAGCUCCUGAUCGAAGCCCCGGUAAACGGCGGCCGUAACUAUAACGGUCCUAAGGUAGCGAAAUUCCUUGUCGGGUAAGUUCCGACCUGCACGAAUGGCGUAAUGAUGGCCAGGCUGUCUCCACCCGAGACUCAGUGAAAUUGAACUCGCUGUGAAGAUGCAGUGUACCCGCGGCAAGACGGAAAGACCCCGUGAACCUUUACUACAGCUUGACACUGAACAUUGAGCCUUGAUGUGUAGGAUAGGUGGGAGGCUUUGAAGCGUGGACGCCAGUCUGCGUGGAGCCGACCUUGAAAUACCACCCUUUAAUGUUUGAUGUUCUAACCUGGCGCCGUGAUCCGGCGUGGGGACAGUGUCUGGUGGGUAGUUUGACUGGGGCGGUCUCCUCCCAAAGUGUAACGGAGGAGCACGAAGGUCAGCUAAUCCUGGUCGGACAUCAGGAGGUUAGUGCAAUGGCAUAAGCUGGCUUGACUGCGAGAGUGACGGCUCGAGCAGGUGCGAAAGCAGGUCAUAGUGAUCCGGUGGUUCUGUAUGGAAGGGCCAUCGCUCAACGGAUAAAAGGUACUCCGGGGAUAACAGGCUGAUACCGCCCAAGAGUUCAUAUCGACGGCGGUGUUUGGCACCUCGAUGUCGGCUCAUCACAUCCUGGGGCUGAAGUAGGUCCCAAGGGUAUGGCUGUUCGCCAUUUAAAGUGGUACGCGAGCUGGGUUUAGAACGUCGUGAGACAGUUCGGUCCCUAUCUGCCGUGGGCGCUGGAGAAUUGAGGGGGGCUGCUCCCAGUACGAGAGGACCGGAGUGGACGCAUCACUGGUGUUCGGGUUGUCAUGCCAAUGGCACUGCCCGGUAGCUAAAUGCGGAAGAGAUAAGUGCUGAAAGCAUCUAAGCACGAAACUUGCCCCGAGAUGAGUUCUCCCUGAGACUAUAAGUCUCCUGAAGGAACGUUGAAGACGACGACGUUGAUAGGCCGGGUGUGUAAGCGCAGCGAUGCGUUGAGCUAACCGGUACUAAUGAACCGUGAGGCUUAACCUUACAACGCCAAAGAAGU
RNAcentral lists this ribosomal RNA (2927 nucleotides) under Cronobacter sakazakii. RNAcentral describes it as "bacterial LSU rRNA". It matches the Rfam family "Bacterial large subunit ribosomal RNA". The record is from RNAcentral. Lineage: Bacteria; Pseudomonadati; Pseudomonadota; Gammaproteobacteria; Enterobacterales; Enterobacteriaceae.